UAGAGAAUCCUAAGGCCGGCGGAAGAAUUGCAGUUAAGGAACUAGGCAAAUUGACCCCGUAAGUUAGCGAGAAGGGGUGCCUACGAGAGUAGGCCGCAGAGAAUAGGCCCAAGCAACUGUUUAGCAAAAACACAGGUCUCUGCUAAAGCGCAAGCUGAUGUAUAGGGGCUGACGCCUGCCCGGUGCUGGAAGGUUAAGGGGAACACUUAGCGCAAGCGAAGGUGUGAACUUAAGCCCCAGUAAACGGCGGCCGUAACAAUAACGGUCCUAAGGUAGCGAAAUUCCUUGUCAGGUAAGUUCUGACCCGCACGAAUGGCGUAAUGACUUGGGCACUGUCUCAACUGCAAAUCCGGCGAAGUUGUAGUGCGAGUGAAGAUGCUCGCUACCCGCGAUUGGACGGAAAGACCCCGGAGAGCUUUACUGUAGCUUAGCAUUGAAUUCCGGUAUUGUCUGUACAGGAUAGGUGGGAGACUGGGAAACUAGGGCGUCAGCCUUAGUGGAGUCAUCCUUGGGAUACCACCCUGACAGUACUGGGGUUCUAACAGGAUGCCAUGAAUCUGGUGACUGGACAUUGUUAGGUGGGCAGUUUGACUGGGGCGGUCGCCUCCUAAAAAGUAACGGAGGCGCCCAAAGGUUCCCUCAGGACGGUCGGAAAUCGUUCGUAGAGUGCAAAGGCAGAAGGGAGCCUGACUGCGAGACCUACAAGUCGAGCAGGGACGAAAGUCGGGCUUAGUGAUCCGGUGGUACCUCGUGGGAGGGCCAUCGCUCAACGGAUAAGAGCUACCUCGGGGAUAACAGGCUGAUCUCCCCCAAGAGUCCACAUCGACGGGGAGGUUUGGCACCUCGAUGUCGGCUCGUCGCAUCCUGGGGCUGUAGUAGGUCCCAAGGGUUGGGCUGUUCGCCCAUUAAAGCGGCACGCGAGCUGGGUUCAGAACGUCGUGAGACAGUUCGGUCCCUAUCCGUCGCGGGCGUAGGAAAUUUGAGAGGAGCUGUCCUUAGUACGAGAGGACCGGGAUGGACUGACCUCUGGUGCACCAGUUGUUCUGCCAAGAGCAUGGCUGGGUAGCUAAGUCGGGAAGGGAUAAACGCUGAAAGCAUCUAAGCGUGAAGCCUCCCUCAAGAUGAGAUUUCCCAUAGUCGAAAGACUAGUAAGACCCCUUGAAGAACACGAGGUUGAUAGGUCAGAGGUGUAAGUGUGGUAACAUAUUUAGCUGACUGAUACUAAUAGGUCGAGGGCUUGAUC
This 1243-nucleotide ribosomal RNA is filed under the name metagenome. RNAcentral's name for it is "bacterial LSU rRNA". It matches the Rfam family "Bacterial large subunit ribosomal RNA", at positions 1672 to 2925 of the family's 2925-position model. The record is from RNAcentral.